This is a long non-coding RNA of Bombus huntii, 1049 nucleotides long. RefSeq lists it as uncharacterized. The record is from RefSeq and is a predicted model, not a curated record. Lineage: Eukaryota; Metazoa; Arthropoda; Insecta; Hymenoptera; Apidae. The transcript is spliced from 3 exons.
AUUUCCUCAUUGGCGAUUCAUUAAUGUGCUUACGUGAUCGAGAUUUCAGAGACAUUCCAUCGAACCGACUCUCCAAAUGGCAGCAUAUCCAACAGCUUAAACAACAUUUUUGGAACCGCUGGCAUAAGGAGUAUUUGAACGAGCUAACCAACCGCAAUAAAUGGAGCAAGGGUGGACACAGCAUCCAAAAGGGCACAAUCGUCAUCCUCAGAGAGGACAACGUUCCCUCCAUGCAUUGGCCUCUGGGCCGAGUUAUCAAGGUUCAUCCAGGCGCCGAUGGUGUCAUCCGGACAGCUACAGUUCAGACGGCAAAGAGCAUUUUGGAUCGGGGCGUCAAAAGGCUUGUCCCACUGCCAAUUCAACCCGAUCUCGAGAAACCCGAACAACUAGCCACCGAGCCGAAAUAAGAUGGGAACUUCAACCACACCUCGCUAGUUUGAUCGGUACCCUCUCAACGGGGGGAGAAUGUUACGCCAUGCGGCUUACCAUAGGUCAUAUUCUUAACUAUCGAUCGCGGCACUAUAAUGUCGCAGACGGAUCGUCGCGUCUGCCCGGCAAACAAACAUUGUAGUGGCAAGCGCAUGGUUCAUUAAGCAGGGCGACUUCCAGAAACGUCGACUCGUGGCCCGUAUUUUACCUCGCAGUAAAAGAAUGUGGCGUGAUCCGAACGUAGUGGGGGUCGCCUUCCAGAAAAAACGAAAAAAAUCGAAAGGCGUUCAGAACUUUUCGAGAAGUCGAACCGUCAACACAUGUGGCGCUUGGCCAUGAAUCGCUGCAUUAGGUUUUCGUAAUCCCCGAAAACCAGACAAACCACUAUGGAAGUGCGGAGGUUCCCUGAUAUCGGCUAGGCAUGUUUUGACCGCAGCACAUUGUGCACAUAUGGAUGGAAUAGAAAACAUACACAAUCAUAAUAUUGCCAUUCUUAGAUUGGUGGAGGAGGUGCCAUUUUCGAGGUACGUAUAUCCCAUUUGUACGAAAGAGCCCCUACGAAAGAGCAACUUCGUCGGCUAUAACCCCCUUGUUGCUGGAUCGGGAGCAUUAAGAUAUAG